RNAcentral lists this long non-coding RNA (260 nucleotides) under Nicotiana benthamiana. RNAcentral describes it as "long non-coding RNA (NBEN_LNC014768)". The record is from RNAcentral. Lineage: Eukaryota; Viridiplantae; Streptophyta; Magnoliopsida; Solanales; Solanaceae.
UUUGAGGUCUUUCUAGACAUGUUUCAUCUACUGUUUUCCAAAACUUAUAUCACCCAUCCCUUUCAGAACUUGUUCAAGUUCCAACCUUUGCUUAAAACGUGUUUCCUGUGCUUCGAAUCAGUAUCUAUAUUCUAUUUACCUUGAACCUGCUACUGUGUAUGUAUGUUUUCUCAUGAGACUUUGAAAGAGAUCUUUGAGCCUGUUUAGUUAUUUGUCUUCUCGUCUGUGUAUCUGAUUCAAGUCAAGAACCCCCACCCCAG